Neogale vison (American mink) is the source of this 732-nucleotide long non-coding RNA. RefSeq lists it as uncharacterized. NCBI's taxonomy places the organism in Eukaryota, Metazoa, Chordata, Mammalia, Carnivora, Mustelidae. The record is from RefSeq and is a predicted model, not a curated record. The transcript has 4 exons.
AGUCGGACCCUCAACCCACUGAGCCACCCAGGCACCCUAAAGGCUUCCAGCUGGCUCCCCAGCGGGGAAGUCAGAAACUGCCCUGGGACUUCCAGGUCUCUGUUUCCAAUUACCAAGCACGACCGGGCAGCUGGGACACCAAUCCAACCAUUCAUCUGACGGAUAAUGGGAAAACAGGCCUCAGCUUUGUGCCCAGCUGGAAUGCAAAAGUAAGAUCGGCAUGAAGAAUUGAAUAAGGACUGUGUGAAAGUCUUACUGGAAGCAAGAGGCUUCUGUUGGAAAGAUGAAAUGAUUUCCACAGUACCUUCAUGCCAAUUGGAUACAGGUAUUCCUGGCCCCAUUUCACCAUUGGUCAGACAGAGAACUAAUAAAUAUGAGAGAGAAGAUCAGCAUGGACAUUGCAGCUUUGAAGGAAACACACACAGAUGUGGAAAGACCCAGAUCUCACUUCUCUAACAAGCUCCUCUCAUGGGCUAGAAGAAACUUGAAUGUACGGAUCUCCUGAUUUAAUACCAAGAAGAAAGUUGAGUUUUCAGACCUGACUGAAGAAGCACGUGGCAAGUUUGGAGAAAUGAUACUGGGAUACAGACUUUACAUCUGGAGUUGCAGCAGCCAACUUGUGACCCUGAGAAACAAAAGUCACAUGCUAAGGAUGGUGACCCAAGGAACAAGACAGAGUUGGGGUCCCUCAGGACAUCAUACAGUCACUGUACCAGUUCUGGUAUGUUCAUG